Molecule: ribosomal RNA, 556 nt
Filed under: uncultured fungus
Lineage: Eukaryota; Fungi
Description: SSU rRNA
Rfam family: Eukaryotic small subunit ribosomal RNA
Source: RNAcentral
GGAAGGGGUGUAUUUAUUAGAUUAAAAACCAAUGCCCUCCGGGGCUCACUGGUGAUUCAUAACAACUUCUCGAAUCGCACGGCCUUGCGCCGGCGAUGGUUCAUUCAAAUUUCUGCCCUAUCAACUUUCGACGGCUGGGUCUUGGCCAGCCAUGGUGACAACGGGUAACGGGGAGUUAGGGCUCGACUCCGGAGAAGGAGCCUGAGAAACGGCUACUACAUCCAAGGAAGGCAGCAGGCGCGCAAAUUACCCAAUCCCGACACGGGGAGGUAGUGACAAUAAAUACUGAUACAGGGCUCUUUUGGGUCUUGUAAUUGGAAUGAGUACAAUUUAAAUCCCUUAACGAGGAACAAUUGGAGGGCAAGUCUGGUGCCAGCAGCCGCGGUAAUUCCAGCUCCAAUAGCGUAUAUUAAAGUUGUUGAGGUUAAAAAGCUCGUAGUUGAACCUUGGGCCUAGCCUUCCGGUCCCCCUCACCGGUGCACUGGCUCGGCUGGGCCUUUCCUUCUGGAGAACCGCAUGCCCUUCACUGGGUGUGCCGGGGAACCAGGACUUUUAC